GACGAACGCUGGCGGCGUGCUUAACACAUGCAAGUCGAACGAUGACGACCGAACUUGCUCGGUCUGAUUAGUGCCGAAGGCGUGAGUAACACGUGAGCAACCUGCCCUUCACUCUGGGAUAACAUCUGGAAAUCGGGGCUAAUACCGGAUAUGAUCUCCUGUCCCAUGGCGGGCAUUGGAAAGUUUUUCGGUGCAGGAUGGGCUGGCGGCCUAUCAGUUUGUUUGUGAGGUAGUGGCACACCACGGCGAUGCCGGGUAGCCGGCCUGAGAUGGCCAACGGGCACCCUGCGACUGCGAGACGGAGCAGACGCGAACGGUCGGCAGCAGUGGGGAAUAUUGCACAGUGGGCGAGAGCCUGAUGCAGCGACGCCGCGUGAGGGAUGACGGCCUUCGGGGUGUAAACCUCUUUCAGCAGGGAAGAAGCGAUAGUGACGGUACCUGAAGAAGAAGCGCCGGCUAACUACGUG
This 467-nucleotide ribosomal RNA is filed under the name uncultured bacterium. Its description in RNAcentral is "partial 16S ribosomal RNA". It matches the Rfam family "Bacterial small subunit ribosomal RNA", at positions 28 to 507 of the family's 1533-position model. The record is from RNAcentral.